Molecule: ribosomal RNA, 509 nt
Filed under: uncultured bacterium
Lineage: Bacteria
Description: bacterial SSU rRNA
Rfam family: Bacterial small subunit ribosomal RNA
Source: RNAcentral
GAUCCUGGCUCAGGAUGAACGCUAGCGACAGGCUAACACAUGCAAGUCGAGGGGCAGCAUAGAAGUAGCAAUACGUUGGUGGCGACCGGCGCACGGGUGAGUAACGCGUAUGCAACCUACCUAUCAGAGGGGAAUAACCCGGCGAAAGUCGGACUAAUACCGCAUAAAACAGGGGCACCGCAUGGUGAUAUUUGUUAAAGAAAUUCGCUGAUAGAUGGGCAUGCGUUCCAUUAGGUAGUUGGUGAGGUAACGGCUCACCAAGCCGACGAUGGAUAGGGAACUGAGAGGUUGGUCCCCCACACUGGUACUGAGACACGGACCAGACUCCUACGGGAGGCAGCAGUGAGGAAUAUUGGUCAAUGGGCGGGAGCCUGAACCAGCCAAGUCGCGUGAAGGAAGAAGGAUCUAUGGUUCGUAAACUUCUUUUGCAGGGGAAUAAAGUGCAGGACGUGCCCUGUUUUGUAUGUACCCUGAGAAUAAGGAUCGGCUAACUCCGUGCCAGCCGCAGC